Cydia splendana is the source of this 2854-nucleotide long non-coding RNA. RefSeq lists it as uncharacterized. The record is from RefSeq and is a predicted model, not a curated record. The transcript is spliced from 3 exons. NCBI's taxonomy places the organism in Eukaryota, Metazoa, Arthropoda, Insecta, Lepidoptera, Tortricidae.
GAAAAAAUGUAGAAUGUAUAUUGCAUAUACCUACCUAAAAUAAAUGAUAUGAUUCAGCUCGCAUAUAGAGUCGCACCAAGCUCUAUGCUGUGCAUGGCAGAUGUAUUUGCUACGACGAAGUGUACGCAUGUCAUCAAAAUUUCUAUGGAAAUAUGACAUUUAAAAACACUAUGGUUUAUCAAAGUUGGUGCAAAGUUAUACGGAAUCAAGUCGAGUCGUACCAUUCGGUCAAAAGUUCAAGCCGAGCGCACAACCCCGCGCAACUAGAUAUAUACCUAAGUUGCAAGGACGACGCGUCGUCGUCGUCGUCGACGCGACGUUCUCGACGCAACUGUCACGCAUUUUGGGACAUUCCCAUUCGUUCUACAUAACAACUAAAUGACAAAAAAAUGUCGAACAAAAUAUAAUACGGUUCGUCCAAAUCAAAGAUUCAUUUAUUGCAUUCGAUGUGUAAAGUCUAAGACAGAUGCUGUUUUCGAAUUUGACCAUAUGCCUACCAUAUUAUAGUGCGGUUCCGACGGUUCCGUAAUGCGGCACCUCUGCAUAGUUGUCAAAAUGUGACAAUAGGGCUGGCAACUGUCAAAGAUUUUUAGAGAUGGCGCCAGCAUAGAUUAUACCUGUCUAGUUUUGUUCUAUGGGAUUUAACUAUUUUAAGACUUGUUGUACUACUAACAUUAUAUGGAUCUCUCCGAUUCGAAAUAAAUAAAUAAUUGAAUUGAAUUUGAAUUUAGCUUCGAGGCUACCUUCCAGCCAAAAUUCCAAAGAAAAUACGUGCAUUCUACAUUCGACUCUACUCAUAGGAUUGAAGGUACAAUAAAAACCCAUGCUGGCGCCAUCUGUUGAAUACUUCGACCGACCAACCCCAUUCAGUUACUACAAAACCGUUCAAAUCUUCUGGCACGUUUUCUCUUCGAUUUUACACCCAAAUAGAAGAAAUGAGAAAAAUCUCAGUUCCUUUCUUCCAAAUCAGUCUCAAACUGCCAACAGUUUUAGAAUUUUGAUUGGUCUCGAACACGAGUGAUAUAUAUUUAUAUAUUAAAGUAUAUUUUGGGAGUAUUUCCCGCGUACGAGUAAGCUACGGUUAGCGGGGUACCAUGGGACCUUAAUGUAAGUAUACGCGUCCGGCCUGGAUUGUUAUAUUGUUAUUAUAUUGGACAUGUUUAUUUCGUUUUACCCUCAUUUACUCUAAAAACUUUUUAAUAUCUCUCUGUCUCUCUCUACAACAAAUACCUAAGUGUAGGUACCUACUGUAGGUACCUGAUAUCAAGUUUUUAGGCCAAAUUAGGGUAUUUUUAUACUUUUUAUUAUACUUCUGCCCGCUGUCGCUUUACUCUGUCACAAAUCUAACGUGUGCUGUCUAUUCUAUUGCGAGUACUUGCAUUAGUCAUUCCAACAACAUUUUUAUACUGUGAUUUUUUUAUACAUUUACUUUUUAUUAUUUAUACAAACUUUGCAAUGCAAGCUUCCAUUUUCUGUGAUCUCUUGUAAGGACAUGUUUUGAUAAUUAAUUUAUAUAUUUUAGCAUGAUGCGUAAGAGUAUUUUAAACUUUUAACUUGACAUUUUACAACUCUCUUAUAAUUUUUGUUAUUUUUAUAAUAUAUAUGAUACAAUUAAGUGUUGACAUUACCGUAGUAAACUACGUUAUAAAUAAAUAUUUUAAUUCAUCCGAGCUAUUUAACUAUGUGCUAGAAUACCUACUAUUGUAUUAUUGUUUUAACAUAUUUUGAACGACACAAUUGUUUCGCACGCGACCGGUCCCAUCUUCCAGUUGAAUACAUUUUAGUGCAAAUACAUUUGGACCAACCCUGGAUCGUAAGUUAGUUAUAGUGCGAUGUUUAAUGUUGUGUAAUUAAUUGGCGAAAUUAUUUAGUAAUAAGUUGUGUCGAAUUGUAUGUAAUGGUACCAGGUUAUAAAUUAUAAUAUCUGUAAUAAUUAAAUGGAGGUGGUGAGAACGCUAUGCUUUCGCGCGGAAUCCGCGCAAAUACCGUCAGGUUUCGUACGCGUUUCUAAUAUAGUUGCAUAAUCACUUAAAAUCAAUAAAAACGUGUAUUUUUCUAUUGCAAUUUCCAUACAAAAUGACCUGCCUUCAUUGGUGUUGAGUGAUGUAUCCAAUAACAUUAAAAGCAGCUGUUAAUUGCUAAUAAGGAUCCAAUCGCCGGCGAUCAGUUGUAAAGCGACUAAUGUACAGUCGCUAUCAGAUAUAUCGAAGCGGCCGUGGUGCCCAGAAACAUCUGAACACGCACUCUAGCGCCUUGACAAUGGAAGCGUAAGUAUAUACUUGUAAGCACUUUGGCCGCUCCGAUAUAUCUGAUGAUGGCGACUGUAUACAAACUAUCAACACUGACCUACGGCGGUCGGAACUUCGCAGUUAGGCUACAGUACCGCCGCUACCUUGAGUUGACACUUAACGUUUACACUAGCGUCUGAGCUAUUAGUGCGAUCGAGAGGGAAUGCAAUCGAGCUCACAGUCGCUAGCGUGAAUUUCAACUGUUAACUCAUGGUAGCCGUACAGGACCUUAUACCGCAGUGCCGACAACUAGCCAAAAUAACGUGUCAAUUUCAGAUUAUCAUUCUGAUAGCUAUCGAUUAUUCAAUUCAUAUUUAAACUAGAAUAAAUCAUUCAAAUUCUGAAGAUAUUUUCGCGAAAACAUAGUGACUAGACUUUAACAUAAUAACACGCAUAAUAUUUUAUAUUUCAAUGGUACUUACGUAUAAAUUAUUGCAAAUCGGUGAUUGUUGAACAAGGGUGCUUUGUGUGUUGCCAUGCGGAUAAAUAAUAAUAAUAAAAUUAGAAUUGCUACAAAUUGCGACAAAAGCUUACUAGAGCCGCAACACGUCGAACGUGGUUCGCGG